UUCUUCAACAAGCAGCACUUUAAAACUCUUUUUCGCAUAUUUUUCAACUCUUUUUUUUUUUUUUUUUUUUUUUUUCAACUCUUCUUUUCUUUUCAACAAGCAUAAUAACUCACACUUCCCCCACACUUGUUUUCUGCCAUACAUUAAUCAAAAGAAAUUCAAUUUGAAUCAUGUUUUACUAUGCUUCAAGAACAAGGGUAUGGAUGAUCCUAAACUAGGCUAGUUAAGGAUAAUGUGGUUUAACAAAGAAUGUAGGCUAUCAAGGCUCAAUGGGGUUAACUUAAACAUAUAAC
RNAcentral lists this long non-coding RNA (293 nucleotides) under Malus domestica (apple). RNAcentral describes it as "long non-coding RNA (MDOM_LNC010640)". The record is from RNAcentral. Lineage: Eukaryota; Viridiplantae; Streptophyta; Magnoliopsida; Rosales; Rosaceae.